GAUGAACGCUGGCGGCGUGCCUAAUACAUGCAAGUCGAGCGAACAGAUGAGGAGCUUGCUCCUCUGACGUUAGCGGCGGACGGGUGAGUAACACGUGGAUAACCUACCUAUAAGACUGGGAUAACUUCGGGAAACCGGAGCUAAUACCGGAUAAUAUAUUGAACCGCAUGGUUCAAUAGUGAAAGACGGUUUUGCUGUCACUUAUAGAUGGAUCCGCGCCGCAUUAGCUAGUUGGUAAGGUAACGGCUUACCAAGGCAACGAUGCGUAGCCGACCUGAGAGGGUGCGCGCCCACCUGGGACCUGAGCCGCGGUCCGGCCCCCGCGGGGAGGAAGAAGUAGGGAUUCUCCGGCAAUGGGAGAAGCCCGGACGGACAACCCCCAGGUGAGGGAGAAAGUUUUUGGUACCUAAAACCUUGUUUAUAGGGAAAAAAAAAAUUUGAAAGAAAAUAGGCACUUUUGGACGGUCCUUAAUAAAAAAGCCCGGGCAACCUCCGUC
RNAcentral lists this ribosomal RNA (497 nucleotides) under uncultured bacterium. Its description in RNAcentral is "partial 16S ribosomal RNA". It matches the Rfam family "Bacterial small subunit ribosomal RNA", at positions 28 to 507 of the family's 1533-position model. The record is from RNAcentral.